UACGGAGGAUGCAAGCGUUAUCCGGAAUCAUUGGGUUUAAAGGGUCCGUAGGCGGACCGGUAAGUCAGUGGUGAAAGUCUGCAGCUCAACUGUAGAAUUGCCAUUGAUACUGCUGGUCUUGAAUAACUAUGAAGUAAUUAGAAUGUGUAGUGUAGCGGUGAAAUGCAUAGAUAUUACACAGAAUACCGAUUGCGAAGGCA
Molecule: ribosomal RNA, 200 nt
Filed under: uncultured bacterium
Lineage: Bacteria
Description: partial 16S ribosomal RNA
Rfam family: Bacterial small subunit ribosomal RNA
Source: RNAcentral